GAACGCUGGCGGCGUGCUUAACACAUGCAAGUCGAACGGGAGUAUUGAAGAAGCUUGCUUUAGAGAUACUUUAGUGGCGGACGGGUGAGUAACGCGUGAGGAGCUGUCCUAUGCAGGGGGACAACAGCUGGAAACGGCUGCUAAUACCCCAUAAGCCGAGAGGUAAAAGGAUCAAUCCGGCAGAGGAGGUACUCGCGUCCUAUCAGCUAGUAGGUGAGGUAACGGCUCACCUAGGCGAAGACGGGUAGCCGGCCUGAGAGGGCGAACGGCCACACUGGAACUGAGAUACGGUCCAGACUCCUACGGGAGGCAGCAGUGGGGAAUAUUGGGCAAUGGGGGAAACCCUGACCCAGCGACGCCGCGUGGGUGAAGAAAUCCUUCGGGAUGUAAAGCCCUGUUGUAUGGGAGAGCGGAAGACGGUACCAUACGAGGAAGCCCCGGCAAACUACGUG
Molecule: ribosomal RNA, 452 nt
Filed under: uncultured bacterium
Lineage: Bacteria
Description: bacterial SSU rRNA
Rfam family: Bacterial small subunit ribosomal RNA
Source: RNAcentral